UACGGAGGGUGCAAGCGUUAUCCGGAUUCACUGGGUUUAAAGGGUGUGUAGGCGGGUAUUUAAGUCAGUGGUGAAAUCUCCAGGCUCAACCUGGAAACUGCCAUUGAUACUAUUUAUCUUGAAUUCUGUUGAGGUGGGCGGAAUACAUCAUGUAGCGGUGAAAUGCUUAGAUAUGAUGUAGAACACCGAUUGCGAAGGCAGCUCACUAAACAGACAUUGACGCUGAGGCACGAAAGCGUGGGGAUCAAACAGG
This 253-nucleotide ribosomal RNA is filed under the name uncultured bacterium. RNAcentral describes it as "partial 16S ribosomal RNA". It matches the Rfam family "Bacterial small subunit ribosomal RNA", at positions 524 to 776 of the family's 1533-position model. The record is from RNAcentral.